GAGGGUGUAGCUCAGUAGUAGAGUGCAUGCUUAGCAUGCACAAGGUCCUGGGUUCAAUCCCCAAUACUUCCU
Molecule: transfer RNA, 72 nt
Filed under: Camelus bactrianus (Bactrian camel)
Lineage: Eukaryota; Metazoa; Chordata; Mammalia; Artiodactyla; Camelidae
Also listed under: 3 other names
Rfam family: tRNA
About the family: Transfer RNA (tRNA) molecules are approximately 80 nucleotides in length. Their secondary structure includes four short double-helical elements and three loops (D, anti-codon, and T loops).
Source: Rfam by way of RNAcentral